This 401-nucleotide ribosomal RNA is filed under the name Enterococcus faecalis. RNAcentral describes it as "bacterial SSU rRNA". It matches the Rfam family "Bacterial small subunit ribosomal RNA", at positions 28 to 408 of the family's 1533-position model. Lineage: Bacteria; Bacillati; Bacillota; Bacilli; Lactobacillales; Enterococcaceae. The record is from RNAcentral.
GACGAACGCGGCGGCGUGCCUAAUACAUGCAAGUCGAACGCUUCUUUCCUCCCGAGUGCUUGCACUCAAUUGGAAAGAGGAGUGGCGGACGGGUGAGUAACACGUGGGUAACCUACCCAUCUGAGGGGGAUAACACUUGGAAACAGGUGCUAAUACCGCAUAACAGUUUAUGCCGCAUGGCAUAAGAGUGAAAGGCGCUUUCGGGUGUCGCUGAUGGAUGGACCCGCGGUGCAUUAGCUAGUUGGUGAGGUAACGGCUCACCAAGGCCACGAUGCAUAGCCGACCUGAGAGGGUGAUCGGCCACACUGGGACUGAGACACGGCCCAGACUCCUACGGGAGGCAGCAGUAGGGAAUCUUCGGCAAUGGACGAAAGUCUGACCGAGCAACGCCGCGUGAGUGA